Felis catus (domestic cat) is the source of this 858-nucleotide long non-coding RNA. RefSeq lists it as uncharacterized. The transcript has 3 exons. NCBI's taxonomy places the organism in Eukaryota, Metazoa, Chordata, Mammalia, Carnivora, Felidae. The record is from RefSeq and is a predicted model, not a curated record.
GCUCUAGGUAGCUUUUUGCCUCUGGACUGUGAACUUCACUUGUUCCCAGUCCCCACCUCCUGUAGGUGGGACAGCAUGGUUACAGUAGGCUGGAGUUGUGUAUUUCCCUGCCUUCCUCUGAAAGGCUAGAGCCAAGUGGAGUUGAAUGUUUCUUUUCCCCCAGGUCAAUUAGGCUCUAAUAAACCCCAACAGGUUAGGCUCUGGUUAACUAGUUUCACCUAGGGCAGAACUUUUUCAGAAAACAGAAUGCUCUGGGGUCUUUCAAAAUGGUUCCCUUUCCCCAAACCCCGUUGGAAGAACAAAGGAAUUUUUCUCCAAUAUUCGCUGUGAAAACCUCAUGAAUUCUUAGAUGUAAAACUCUCAGAAGUGUGAGUAGACCCCUCUGAAGUUUAUAUCUUUUUGGACUUGCCCACACUAAGCCUCCAGUAAUUCAUCAAUUACAAUUGAAGUUUACCUACCCUGGCAUCCAUUCUUGUGGAGGUUUUCAGCUCAGUUUCUGCUCUGAGACCCUAACACCUCAGUUUGGACCAAGACUCUCAAGAGAGAGCCUGAAGCCUUUCUUAGAACCCUAACAAAAUGGAACCCUUUUCCCAUGGAAUAUCCCUUUGGAUCAGGAUGAGAAGGCAACAGGACUGAAUGCCACUGAAGACUCCAGGAUAGAGGCCACCCUUUAUGAGUAGAGGCUCCACAGACCAUGCAGUGUCCAAAAAUAUAGGACAAUGAAGAGGAUGCAAAUGGAAACUGCUACAGAAGAAGUACUUUCAAUUUUAGAAAAUUUAAAUAGAACGACUUAAAAAUUCACUCCUUUGAAAAUAAAAGGAUAGAAAUUAAGCUCAAUAAAAUCAUGGUGGAUGAAGA